UGGAUGUGGAUAGACGAAGAGGUUGCUCUGCU
Molecule: small RNA, 32 nt
Filed under: Bombyx mori (domestic silkworm)
Lineage: Eukaryota; Metazoa; Arthropoda; Insecta; Lepidoptera; Bombycidae
Description: ovarian small RNA-34686
Source: RNAcentral